Molecule: ribosomal RNA, 1558 nt
Filed under: Triticum aestivum (bread wheat)
Lineage: Eukaryota; Viridiplantae; Streptophyta; Magnoliopsida; Poales; Poaceae
Description: partial small subunit ribosomal RNA
Source: RNAcentral
CCGGCCUCUAUUUCUGCCCCGGCGACUUCGCUGGUCUUCGUGAUUCGGGGAUUUCUUCACUCUAAUUCUCAGUGGGUUUCCACUGUAAUUCCACUUAUUAGCUAUAAUUCCAAUUGGAUUUACAGUGCAAAUCAAGUUGCACUGAUAUCGUCAGUGGGUUUAGUGUAAUUGACGGUAAUUCUUAUUUUUGGAUUUUUAGUUUUUGUGGUUUUUAUGGAGUAUUCCUUACUGGAAUUUACACUGUAAUUUGUAGUGUUUUGUUUCAUCUUUUAUAACUUACGGUCUAUAUUAAUCUGAAUACCUGUGUAGUUACCGUCUAAGUUAAUGUACAUUAACCCUGUAACUUACUAUCCCAUUUACAGUCUAUUUUUCAGUGUACACUGUAAAGUCAUUUGGAUUCUAUGUAAUUACACCGUAAUGUUAGUACACUUGCACUCUAUUUCCCUGUGUAAUUUUGUUGAAUUUUAUUUGUAAUUGUAAUGAUUUACAUUUGUAAUUACAGUAAGUUAAUGUAGAUUUUUAACCCUGCAAUUGUAAUGAUUUACAAUUGUAAUGACUUACAUCUGUAAUUACAGUCUGUAAUUACUAUCCUAUUAGUGUAAUUUCCAAUCUAUUUUCAGUAUUUACACUGCAAAUUCAUUUGGAUUGUAUGUAAUUACACUGCAAUUGUAGUGCACUUGUACUCUAUUUCCCUGUGCAAUUUCAGUGAAUUACAUUUGUAAUUGUAGUGACUUAUAUUUGUAAUUGCAGUUUAAGUUAACUGUAAAUUUUAACCCUAUAACUUACUAUAUCCUAUGUAUUGUAAUUUCCAGUCUUUUUUCAGUGUAUUUACAAGGAAGGUCAGAGUAAUUUACAGCCAAGUUGUAAUGUGACAAAAUAUCACAGUAAUCUCUCAAGAUAUGUUGAUUUUUGUAUUUUUUGAGUUUACUGGGGUCUAAUAGCAAGAGAAUUAAGUCGGUCAUUUUGGCUUCAUCUUACAUGGAGUGCAUCUUCAUCUUGUUGAUUCUGGGAAGUAGGAGAGGGAACUGUUCACAGGGAGGUAGAGAAGAUUGCCAGGAGAGGAUCUCUUACAUGUGCAUCCAUGAUUUUCUCCAGGUUUGCCCUCUGGAUCUUGGAGGAAUUCCCCCUGUGAUUUCUUCUUUGAUGGGGUGGACAAGCACAUCGACACAUUCAGGGGACAGGAGCAAAACGGAGGGCAUGUGACACUUGUUGAACUCUGUGUUGCCAAAAAAUAUGACUAAAAGGAUUUCAAUCGAAUGCAAAACAGACAGUCCCCGAAACACAUAUCAUCUUGGAUUUAUUGGUGGAUUUACAGUGUCUUUUUAGUGGAUUUUACAGUAGUUUCUUUAAUGUUCCUUACAGUGUAAUUCUUAGUGUUUUAUCUUAUCAGUUUUUCAGUGCAAAAGUGUAAUUCUAGUGGAUUUUACACUGUAAUUGUUAGUGUUUAAUCUUAGCAAUUUUUUAGUGGAGUUACAAUGUAAUUUUAGUGGAUUUUUGCAGUGUCACUUUAAUGCAUCUUUCAUUAUAAUUCUCAGUGGGCAUGAUAGAAAUUAAUGUG